This 448-nucleotide ribosomal RNA is filed under the name uncultured bacterium. Its description in RNAcentral is "partial 16S ribosomal RNA". It matches the Rfam family "Bacterial small subunit ribosomal RNA", at positions 330 to 793 of the family's 1533-position model. The record is from RNAcentral.
ACCAGACUCCUACGGGAGGCAGCAGUGGGGAAUAUUGCACAAUGGGGGAAACCCUGAUGCAGCGACGCCGCGUGGGUGAAGAAGUAUUUCGGUAUGUAAAGCUCUAUCAGCAGGGAAGAAAAUGACGGUACCUGACUAAGAAGCCCCGGCUAACUACGUGCCAGCAGCCGCGGUAAUACGUAGGGGGCAAGCGUUAUCCGGAUUUACUGGGUGUAAAGGGAGCGUAGACGGCAUGGCAAGUCAGAUGUGAAAGCCCGGGGCUCAACCCCGGGACUGCAUUUGAAACUGUCAGGCUGGAGUGCAGGAGAGGCAAGCGGAAUUCCUAGUGUAGCGGUGAAAUGCGUAGAUAUUAGGAGGAACACCAGUGGCGAAGGCGGCUUGCUGGACAGAGACUGACGUUGAGGCUCGAAAGCGUGGGGAGCAAACAGGAUUAGAUACCCCGGUAAUG